AAAUAAGAUAUCAAGGGCAACAGGUGAAUGCCUUGGCGCUGAGAGGCGAUGAAAGACGCGGUAAGCUGCGAUAAGCAUCGGGGAGGAGCUAAACAUCCUACGAUCCGAUGAUUUCUGAAUGGGGAAACCCGAUGGGAGUCAUGUCCCGUCAUCCUGAGCUGAAUAUAUAGGCCCAGAGAAGCCAACCCGGGGAAGUGAAACAUCUCAGUACCCGGAGGAAGAGAAAUCAAACGAGACUCCCAAAGUAGCGGCGAGCGAAAUGGGAAGAGCCCAAACCGGGUGGUUUCGACCAUUCGGGGUUGUAGGGCCGGCAUACGCGAUUCUGGAGUAGGCAGAGGAAGUGAGCUGGAAAGCUCCGCCACAGCGGGUGAUAGCCCCGUACUCGAAACCGAAAAGGACGCAGCCGGUACCUGAGUACUGCGAGGCACGUGGAACCUCGUGGGAAUCUAGGGGGACCAUCCUCUAAGGCUAAGUACUCCUCAGCGACCGAUAGUGAACUAGUACCGUGAGGGAAAGGUGAAAAGAACCCCUGUUAGGGGAGUGAAAUAGAAUCUGAAACCUGUUGCCUACAAGCUGCGAGAGCUACUUCGGUAGUGAUCGCGUGCCUUUUGUAUAAUGAGUCAGCGAGUUACUCUACCGUGCGAGGUUAAGCGAAAGCGUAGCCGUAGUGAAAGCGAGGCUUAAUAGGCCGACUAGUACGUUGGAGUAGACCCGAAACCGGGUGAUCUAUCCAUGAGCAGGUUGAAGCAAGGGUAAAGCCUUGUGGAGGACCGAACCGUCAACGGCUGAAAACGUUCCGGAUGACUUGUGGAUAGGGGUGAAAGGUCAAUCAAACCCGGUGAUAGCUGGUUCUCCCCGAAAUAUAUUGAGGUAUAGCCUCGGGAAUUGAUUAGCGGAGGUAAAGCACUGACAGAGCUAGGGGUCCUACCAGAUUACCAAACUCUAUCAAACUCAGAAUGCCGCUUAAUUGUAUCCCGGGAGUCAGACGGCGGGUGCGAAGGUUCGUCGUCAAAAGGGAAACAGCCCAGACCAACAGCUAAGGUCUCCAAAUCCAUGCUCAGUGGUGAAGGUAGUGGAACCGUUUAGACAGCCAGGACGUUGGCUUAGAAGCAGCCAUCGUUUAAAGAAAGCGUAAUAGCUCACUGGUCUAAUGGCUCUGCGCCGAAAAUGUAACGGGGCUAAGCAUGGUACCGAAGCUUUGGCAAUCUCCUUUGGAGAUUGGGUAGGGGAGCGUUCGCUGCGGGCUGAAGGUGUGUCGGAAGGCAUGCUGGACUGCAGUGAAGUGAUUAUGCUGACAUGAGUAACGAUAAAAUAUGUGAAAAACAUAUUCGCCGAAAACCCGAGGUUUCCUGGGUAAAGGUAAUGUACUUGUUGUGUAGCGCGAUGGAGGGACGCAGGAAGAUAGGCGGGCCGGGUGUUGGAUAUCCCGGUGCAAGCGUGUAGGAAUAUCCGGUAGGCAAAUCCGCCGGACGAAUCUGAGACGCGAGUCCGUGGGCGCAAGCCCUGAAGCCGUUGAGUCUAUGCUGCCUAGAAAAGCUCCUAAGUUUAUCCACAGCAAUCCGUACCGCAAACCAACUCAGGUGGGUGGGAUGAACAAUCCAAGGCGCUCGAGAGAACUCUGGCCAAGGAACUCGGCAAAAUAACCCCGUAACUUCGGAAGAAGGGGUGCUCUCUAGGGUGACAUGUUUAACAUAUGAAGCCCCGGGGAGCCGCAGUGAAUUGGUGGUGGCGACUGUUUACUAAAAACAUAGGUCUGUGCGAAGUCCUAAAGACGACGUAUACGGACUGACGCCUGCCCGGUGCUGGAAGGUUAAAAGGAGGGGUCAGCGCAAGCAAAGCUCCGAAUUGAAGCCCCAGUAAACGGCGGCCGUAACUAUAACGGUCCUAAGGUAGCGAAAUUCCUUGUCGGGUAAGUUCCGACCUGCACGAAUGGCGUAACGAUCUCCACACUGUCUCGGCCAGAGACUCGGUGAAAUUGCAGUCGCGGUGAAAAUUCCGUGUACCCGCAGAAAGACGGAAAGACCCUGUGCACCUUUACUAUAGCUUGACAUUGGAUUUUGGGCCUGCAUGUGUAGGAUAGGUGGGAGGCUGCGAACCCUGUACGCCAGUAUGGGGGGAGCCAUCCUUGAAAUACCACCCUUGCAUGUUUAAGAUCCUAACUUCUUCCGGUUAUCCCGGAGAAAGACAGUGUCUGGCGGGUAGUUUGACUGGGGCGGUCGCCUCCUAAAGUGUAACGGAGGCAUGCAAAGGUUCCCUCAGCCUGAUCGGAAACCAGGCGCUGAGUGCAAACGCAUAAGGGAGCUUGACUGUAAGAGAGACAUCUCGAACAGGAACGAAAGUUGGCGUUAGUGAUCCGGUGGUCCCGAAUGGAAGGGCCAUCGCUCAUUGGAUAAAAGGUACGCCGGGGAUAACAGGCUGAUCGCAUCCAAGAGUUCACAUCGACGAUGCGGUUUGGCACCUCGAUGUCGGCUCAUCACAUCCUGGGGCUGAAGCAGGUCCCAAGGGUACGGCUGUUCGCCGUUUAAAGUGGUACGCGAGCUGGGUUUAAAACGUCGUGAGACAGUUUGGUCCCUAUCUUCUGUGGGCGAAGGAGAAUUGAGAGGGCCUGUCCCUAGUACGAGAGGACCGGGAUGGACGCACCCCUGGUGAUCCUGUUGUCGCGCCAGCGGCAUAGCAGGGUAGCUAUGUGCGGAAGGGAUAACCGCUGAAAGCAUCUAAGCGGGAAGCCUGCCUCAAGAUAAGUUCUCCCCUCGAAAGAGCUGAAGGGCCCGGGUAGACUACCCGGUCGAUAGGCUGGAGGUGUAAGCGCGGCGACGUGCUCAGCUGACCAGUACUAAUAGCCCGAGCGGCUUAUUUUU
This 2858-nucleotide ribosomal RNA is filed under the name Bilophila wadsworthia. RNAcentral's name for it is "23S ribosomal RNA". It matches the Rfam family "Bacterial large subunit ribosomal RNA". The record is from RNAcentral. Lineage: Bacteria; Pseudomonadati; Thermodesulfobacteriota; Desulfovibrionia; Desulfovibrionales; Desulfovibrionaceae.